UUCGUGUGAACAGUGGUUGAUCACGAGUUAGUCGGUCCUAAGUUCAAGGCGAAAGCCGAAAAUUUUCAAGUAAAGAAAAAUCAAAAAUAUAUUUAUUUAUGAAAUCGAUUUUUAUACACUUGAAUAAUUUUGAACGAAAGGGAAUACGGUUCCAAUUCCGUAACCUGUUGAGUAUCCGUUUGUUAUUAAAUAUGGGCCUCGUGCUCAUCCUGGCAACAGGAACGACCAUAAAGAAGCCGUCGAGAGGUAUCGGAAGAGUUUUCUUUUCUGUUUUAUAGCCGUACUACCAUGGAAGUCUUUCGCAGAGAGAUAUGGUAGAUGGGCUAGAAGAGCAUGACAUAUACUGUUGUGUCGAUAUUUUCUCCUCGGACCUUGAAAAUUUAUGGUGGGGAUACGCAAACUUCUCAACAGGCCGUACCAAUAUCCGCAGCUGGUCUCCAAGGUGAAGAGUCUCUAGUCGAUAGAAUA
Molecule: ribosomal RNA, 468 nt
Filed under: Dichaetophora sp. JF2
Lineage: Eukaryota; Metazoa; Arthropoda; Insecta; Diptera; Drosophilidae
Description: partial 28S ribosomal RNA
Rfam family: Eukaryotic large subunit ribosomal RNA
Source: RNAcentral